ACCUACGGGGCGCAGCAGUGGGGAAUAUUGGACAAUGGGGGGAACCCUGAUCCAGCGACGCCGCGUGAGUGAUGAAGUAUUUCGGUAUGUAAACUUCUAUCCGCAGGGAAGAAAAUGACGGUACCUGACUAAGAAGCCCCGGCUAACUACGUGCCAGCAGCCGCGGUAAUACGUAGGGGGCAAGCGUUAUCCGGAUUUACUGGGUGUAAAGGGAGCGUAGACGGCGAUGCAAGCCAGAUGUGAAAGCCCGGGGCCCAACCCCGGGACUGCAUUUGGAACUGUGUGGCUGGAGUGUCGGAGCGGCA
Molecule: ribosomal RNA, 305 nt
Filed under: uncultured bacterium
Lineage: Bacteria
Description: bacterial SSU rRNA
Rfam family: Bacterial small subunit ribosomal RNA
Source: RNAcentral